Brassica napus (rape) is the source of this 1237-nucleotide long non-coding RNA. RefSeq lists it as uncharacterized. The record is from RefSeq and is a predicted model, not a curated record. The transcript is spliced from 2 exons. Lineage: Eukaryota; Viridiplantae; Streptophyta; Magnoliopsida; Brassicales; Brassicaceae.
ACCCACCCAUAUUGAAUUAAUUUUUUUUCUUAAAAAAAACAAACUCUAAAAUUAUUUUCUCCUUGGUCUGUCGUCGUCUUCCUGCUUAGAUACUUCGAUCUCAGAAUUUUUUUCUGACGAUGAACUGGUCUGAUCGAUUCAGACUCCUUCGCGUGCUCAUCUACACUGGUCUGAUCGAUCCGGCGUCGCAUCGGUUGGAGGAUAUCGACGCUCGCUCAGCGAAAUGUGAAGUUCAGAUCGCAGAGGAAUGGCUCGAGAAGCUCUCUACGCGUACGUACGUACGUACGACGAGGAGUACGUGCUGAAGCGUAAGUUGAGAUCUCGGGUCCUGAACAAGCACUCACGUGUUGGCUGCCAAGUUGUGUUAAGGCAGGAGCUCCAAGGAAUGGUCGUCGCUGCCCCUGAAGCCAAGCCGUGUGACAUUGCAGUUUCAUGUUGUGUGUGUUGACUUGUGGUUAACCUCAUGGAGAACUUUCUGUCCAGUGUGCAAACAGGACAAAAAAAACUAGCAAUGGCAAGCCACUAGCUUCAGAGAGCACCCCAUUGCUCUCUACCGCUGCGUCUUCUUUCCACUCUUCCUCUGCACUCUCUUCAUUCAGAUCAUCAGCAGUGUUGAUUGGUCAUUUUUGGGUUCUGAUCCUGCUGUUAAUUGAUACUGAUUAGGUAAAUUACGAUUUGUUCUAAUUAUGAAAGAUUAAGACUUUAUGUUAUUCACUCUCUUAUGAAUGGUUUAAGCUUAUGUGUCUAAAAUUGUUGUGUUAUCUGUUUGUUGUAAUAACUUUCAAUUGUGUUCUGUUUUUUUUUUUUUUGUGUUCUGUUUUUUCAUGUGAUUCAGUGAUUGUUAGAUCAAUGAGGGGAGGAAAUAAGCAUAAUAAUCACCACUCGAGAAUCAUUUUUCUUUGUCAUAUGCAAAACAGAGGCGAAUACAAGAGGAUAAUAAGGCCUUACGUCAGCCAAUUCCUCGUUGAGAUUAUUGUGUUAAAGAAUAAGCCUAAAAUACGAGAGGUUAAUAAGGCCUUACCUGAGCCAGUAACCAGAUGCAUUUUCUGUCACUUGCAAGUUGCAACUAAGUGGUGUGACAGAUGAGGAAGUAAGCAACAUAAAAGAUGACAUUGUUCAACGAAGCUGUCUAAGCUCUAAGAUAUGUAUAAUCAUUGACUAUUACAAGAUUUUAGAGUUUUUUUUGGAGGAAGAGUUGUACUACUAACUUUAUUAGGUAUAAUUAAGAUAAAUAAAA